Molecule: ribosomal RNA, 422 nt
Filed under: uncultured cyanobacterium
Lineage: Bacteria; Bacillati; Cyanobacteriota
Description: bacterial SSU rRNA
Rfam family: Bacterial small subunit ribosomal RNA
Source: RNAcentral
GGAAUUUUCCGCAAUGGGCGAAAGCCUGACGGAGCAACGCCGCGUGAGGGAUGAAGGCCUCUGGGCUGUAAACCUCUUUUAUCAAGGAAGAAGAUCUGACGGUACUUGAUGAAUAAGCCACGGCUAAUUCCGUGCCAGCAGCCGCGGUAAUACGGGAGUGGCAAGCGUUAUCCGGAAUUAUUGGGCGUAAAGCGUCCGCAGGCGGCCUUGUAAGUCUGUUGUUAAAGCGUGGAGCUUAACUCCAUUUAAGCGAUGGAAACUGCAAGACUAGAGUGUGGUAGGGGCAGAGGGAAUUCCCGGUGUAGCGGUGAAAUGCGUAGAUAUCGGGAAGAACACCAGUGGCGAAGGCGCUCUGCUGGGCCAUAACUGACGCUCAUGGACGAAAGCCAGGGGAGCGAAAGGGAUUAGAUACCCCAGUAGUC